CAAUAGCGUAUAUUAAAGUUGUUGCAGUUAAAAAGCUCGUAGUUGGAUUUGUGGUGUGUCCAGUCGGCCUUUGCUCUUUGAGUGAUAGUGCUGUAACUGGUCUGCCAUGUUUGGGUGGAAUCUGUGUGGCAUUAAGUUGUCGUGCAGGGGAUGCCCAUCGUUUACUGUGAAAAAUUAGAGUGUUCAAAGCAGGCUUAUGCCUUGAAUAUAUUAGCAUGGAAUAAUAAGAUAGGACUUUGAGUCUAUUUUGUUGGUUUGCGAGUCAAAGUAAUGAUUAAUAGGGACAGUUGGGGGUAUUCGUAUUUCAUUGUCAGAGGUGAAAUUCUUGGAUUUCUGAAAGACGAACUACUGCGAAAGCAUUUACCAAGGAUGUUUUCAUUAAUCAAGAACGAAAGUUAGGGAUCGAAGACGAUCAGAUACCAU
RNAcentral lists this ribosomal RNA (423 nucleotides) under uncultured eukaryote. Its description in RNAcentral is "SSU rRNA". It matches the Rfam family "Eukaryotic small subunit ribosomal RNA", at positions 592 to 1018 of the family's 1831-position model. The record is from RNAcentral.